This is a long non-coding RNA of Homo sapiens (human), 384 nucleotides long. RefSeq lists it as uncharacterized. The record is from RefSeq and is a predicted model, not a curated record. Lineage: Eukaryota; Metazoa; Chordata; Mammalia; Primates; Hominidae. The transcript has 4 exons.
UUGCCUGGCUGCUCCUCCCUCCAGUUUCAGAGCUCCUUGUUCAUCAAACUUACCUACCUGCUUACUCUGAAUUUUCUCCCCCCAGUUCAGUACUUUUCGGAGAACUAGGUUACAGCAUCAUCAGACCACAUAUGAGGCCAGAGGGUGACCUGUGUUAAGUCCGAGGUGUAUGGUAAUAACAGCUGCCGUUUACUGAGGACGUUACAAUAAACAACUAAAAUAUCAGAUUUAAAAGGAAAAACGGAAGUUUGGUUUUGUACACUGUGGCAGAAGCCUGUAGUCCAACUCCACUUGGCCCAAUUUAUUUUAGCAAAGUGCAGUUAUUUGUAUCAGAUGAACAUUAAGACCUUACUUCUAUUACUUUAAAAAGGUCUUGACCACCAG